GCCUGGGUGGUGGAAUUGGUAGACACAGGGGACUUAAAAUCCCCAGGUCGUUAGGCCGUGCGGGUUCGAGUCCCGCCCUAGGCA
Molecule: transfer RNA, 84 nt
Filed under: Dethiosulfatarculus sandiegensis
Lineage: Bacteria; Pseudomonadati; Thermodesulfobacteriota; Desulfarculia; Desulfarculales; Desulfarculaceae
Rfam family: tRNA
About the family: Transfer RNA (tRNA) molecules are approximately 80 nucleotides in length. Their secondary structure includes four short double-helical elements and three loops (D, anti-codon, and T loops).
Source: Rfam by way of RNAcentral